ACCUUACAUUGAUCAGAACAUUUGACUUAAAAUGGAAUAUUAGAUAAAAACCUAUAUUCUUUUCAAUACUCAGAUUUGUGUUAAAUAAAUUCAAAGUUAGCAUAUACUCAGUAAUCCUAAUUGAGCAUGACUUGCUUUCAAAAUUUAACAGGCAUUCUUUUCAGAUGUGGAAAUGUGCAUUUUCAGCCUAAGUUGGUACUCACUUCCUACUGAUCGGUAUGCCAGUCAAUUUCACAGGGUUGUGAUUUUUGAGUUUUAUUUUCCAGUUGAAAAGCCUGUGUGUUUUUUCUUCUCCUAUUCUAUUCCUCUGUAGUACCAGUAGCAGAAUCUUGUGUCGUGCCUGCUCUGAGAUGUUUGCCAGCAGCAUGUUCUCUUUGCUUUCCGGCACCCCACACAGAUAGAGGCUUUGUCUGGAAUGUUUGUGAUUUUAGCCAGAGCCAGGAAUUUUUUGCAGCUGAGUAGGGGGAGGAGUUGUGUCUGUUUCCCUCUAUUGAG
Molecule: long non-coding RNA, 495 nt
Filed under: Marmota monax (woodchuck)
Lineage: Eukaryota; Metazoa; Chordata; Mammalia; Rodentia; Sciuridae
Source: RNAcentral